This is a long non-coding RNA of Gallus gallus (chicken), 1066 nucleotides long. Lineage: Eukaryota; Metazoa; Chordata; Aves; Galliformes; Phasianidae. The record is from Ensembl.
CUUUGUCACAUGCUGCUCAGAGCUCAACCAGUCCCGGCUGUGGCCGAUGAUACCAGGGCUGGGCUACGCCACUAACCUGGUGAGAUACGGCAGGAGGAACCCCAGCAGGUGAAAAGGGCACUUUAGUCAGCAUGAUGUUGAGUGCUGGUUGAGCAACACGCCGGGAAGGAGAGGAGCCAGCAUCACUUCUGAUGACACACGAUACUCCCAACAACACUGUUACUAGCAAGUGAUCCUAGACAGCAUCAUUUACAAGCCUCAUCCAACUCAGAAGUUUCUUGUGCCACAUGCUGUCCUGCUGAGAAUCAAGCAAGUCUUCCAGUCCAGCUAAGAAGGUUACAUAGGCAGAGGUGGCUACAUGCUCCAGCUCAAAGACGUCACACAGAAGUCGGCACAGUGCUCCCCUUCACACGGCAGUGAGUUCUUGGAGGUGGGUGAGGUGGAUGUGAGGUGGGUGAUGAUGUAGUAUUGCUCCUAAUUUACUUCGCAGGCUUCUUCUCCACUUCCACCCUAUGUCUCUCAGUUUCUAAGCCCAAGUUUUGUAAGUGUGCAGAUUUUCUCUGUUCCUAUUACAUUUCGAUUUGCAUGCAAACCACUGCACACAGAACCAUUACAAACUAUUUACAUACAUAAUACAUGAAAUUCCUCCACUGCGUCUUCAUGACCUUGAUUGCUACCUGUCCUGUUUCUCUUACACAAUUUGAAUUGGUAAGCCAUAUUUUUCAUGCUCCAAAUAUUUUGCCUUGCCUAAUCCUUAGGUAUUAUUUUUUCAUUAAGGCAUUUGGAGUCCCAGCCUGUAAUUGACAUGUGCUUUUGAGACGAAUUUACUCAAGGCAAAAUGGAAAAUUCUGAUUUGCAGAUCAAGUAAUAUUUCACCUGUAGCACCAGGCACAUCAAAUUAAAUACGGGAGAGACAUUUCUUUUCCAGGCUGUGUUCCAAAACUCGUUGCACGCCCUGCUCCAAUUGGGAAUUCUGUGCCAGGGAGCAAGCAAAACCUAGACAGUUAUUCUCUUGAAACAGGAUUGUUUAUAUUAAGAAUAAAUGAACGUACAUCCGAGAUGAGCA